AUUGAACGCUGGCGGCAUGCCUUACACAUGCAAGUCGAACGGUAACAGGUUAAGCUGACGAGUGGCGAACGGGUGAGUAAUGUAUCGGAACGUGCCCAGUCGUGGGGGAUAACUGCUCGAAAGAGCAGCUAAUACCGCAUACGACCUGAGGGUGAAAGCGGGGGCUCGCAAGACCUCGCGCGAUUGGAGCGGCCGAUAUCAGAUUAGGUAGUUGGUGAGGUAAAGGCUCACCAAGCCGACGAUCUGUAGCUGGUCUGAGGGGACGACCAGCCACACUGGGACUGAGACACGACCAUGACUCCUACGGGAGGCAGCAGUGGGGAAUGUUGGACAAUGGGCGCAAGCCUGACCCAGCCAUGCCGCGUGCGGGAAGACGGCCUUCGGGUUGUAAACCGCUUUUGUCAGGGAAGAAACGGUUCUGGCUAAUACCUGGGACUCAUGACGGUACCUGAAGAAUAAGCACCGGCUAACUACGUG
This 477-nucleotide ribosomal RNA is filed under the name uncultured bacterium. RNAcentral's name for it is "partial 16S ribosomal RNA". It matches the Rfam family "Bacterial small subunit ribosomal RNA", at positions 30 to 507 of the family's 1533-position model. The record is from RNAcentral.